Molecule: long non-coding RNA, 269 nt
Organism: Harmonia axyridis
Lineage: Eukaryota; Metazoa; Arthropoda; Insecta; Coleoptera; Coccinellidae
Exons: 2
Source: RefSeq, a predicted model, not a curated record
AAAUUCUGAAAAUUCAAUGAUCCUUGGAAGAAUUAGGAUUUGAAAUAACUAUUAAUAUUUUUUUUGUUUUCUAUAUUUAUAACAACAGUUUUACAUUGCUAUAUGUAUCACAUAAACAGAACAUCGAAAUCACAAAAGCAGUGAGAAUCCUCCAUGGCAUCAUAGUACCUCAGCUGAUGCUUUAUCGAAUCUAGAACAAACCAUCGUUGCUUCCAGCCCUUCAAGAGAGCACCCCGUUUAUACAAGUAGCCUUCAUGCGUUCGAUUUUC